Molecule: ribosomal RNA, 505 nt
Filed under: uncultured bacterium
Lineage: Bacteria
Description: bacterial SSU rRNA
Rfam family: Bacterial small subunit ribosomal RNA
Source: RNAcentral
AGCGAACGCUGGCGGCGUACUUAACACAUGCAAGUCGAACGAGGAGUUUCGGUGUAGCAAUACAUCGGAGCUUCGAGUGGCGCACGGGUGAGUAACACGUGGGCAACCUGCCCUCGAGACCGGGAUACCCCCUCGAAAGGGGGGCUAAUACCGGAUACGUUCCUCGGGUCGCGAGACCUGGGGAGGAAAGGUGGCGCAAGCUGCCGCUCUUGGAGGGGCUCGCGGCCUAUCAGCUAGUUGGUGAGGUCACGGCUCACCAAGGCUAUGACGGGUAGCUGGUCUGAGAGGACGACCAGCCACACGGGGACUGAGACACGGCCCCGACUCCUACGGGAGGCAGCAGUGGGGAAUUUUCCGCAAUGGGCGAAAGCCUGACGGAGUGACGCCGCGUGGGGGACGAAGGCCUUCGGGUCGUAAACCCCUGUCAGAGGGAAAGAAGGGUCGCCAGGUUAAUACCCUGGUGAUCUGACGGUACCUUCAGAGGAAGCCCCGGCCAACUCUGUGC